GGACUUAGGAAUCUCCAAAUAAGACUUUAGAUUUACUGGGACAGAAAGUUCCAUGUUACCUCUUAAUGGAAGCCUUCUUCAUGCUGAACCAUUAGACAUGACAAAGAAAAUUCUGGAUGUUCGUCCAUUUACGAGGAUUUUCGGCUGGAGCAACGGGAAGACAUUCUUCCACAUGGCCAUUGGCAAUUUGAACGGCAGCCGUGAUCACCUCGGCUGCUCUGAUGUUUAUGGAAUAUUGCAAAUCGAUCCACAGCCCAGCAGCAUUUGUCUUCCAGUGGAGAUACCAGCAUGCGCAAAUACCAGCUGGGCAACGACUGAAGAG
Molecule: long non-coding RNA, 322 nt
Organism: Paramacrobiotus metropolitanus
Lineage: Eukaryota; Metazoa; Tardigrada; Eutardigrada; Parachela; Macrobiotidae
Exons: 3
Source: RefSeq, a predicted model, not a curated record